Molecule: ribosomal RNA, 1008 nt
Filed under: Triticum aestivum (bread wheat)
Lineage: Eukaryota; Viridiplantae; Streptophyta; Magnoliopsida; Poales; Poaceae
Description: partial small subunit ribosomal RNA
Source: RNAcentral
AUGCAAUUGCUUAGGCAAGCCAUAGGGUCGCCAAGGGGCUUAGCCAUAAGCACUGAUGCUGGGCAGGCGGUGAUGACAGGGGUAAAGGAAGUUUUCCCAGAGGUAGAACAUAGGGAAUGCAUGUUUCACUUGGUGUCAAACUUCAAGAAAAAGUAUCACGGAAAGGUAUUUGAUGACCAUCUUUGGGCUGCUGCUUACUCAUGGAACAAGUAUAUAUUUGAGAAAAAUUGGGUUGCAAUGGAGACAGCAAAGCCAACGGCAACUACAUAUCUUAGGAAGUGGCACACUAGGUUGUGGACUAGGAGUCAGUUCUCAACCAUUUGUAAGGUGGACUAUGUAACCAACAACCUGGCAGAGUGCUUCAAUAAAUGGAUUAAGCACCACAGGUCCUUGAACUUUGAUGACUUAAUGGACAAGCUUAGGCAGAUGAUUAUGAUCAUGUGGAAUCGAAGGAGAAAAGUAGCAAAGAAGUUAGCUGGCUUAUUAAUUUUGCCCCACAUAAUGAAGAAGUUGAAUGCAAAGAGUAGAGAGUUAAACUUGGAGGUGGUAGAAAGCUCGGAAGAAGUUGCUGAAGUUACUCAAUUGGGAGGCAGCGGGUUUAGGUUUGUCGUCAACUUGCAUGGCAACACAUGUUCUUGUAGACAAUGGCAAGUUUCCGGCCUUCCUUGCAAGCAUGCUCUAGCAUUCAUCACAUCACUUGUUAAUGCACAUAUACAGAAUUAUGUGGACUCGUAUUACUCCAUUGACAAGUUUAGGGCAGCUUAUGGCCAACUAAUCCCUGCUAUGUGUGACAAGACCCAGUGGCCUGAAUCUAACCAUGGAUUCUUCAUGCAUCCACCCUUGUUAAAAGUUGUAGCUAGUCGGCCCCAAACUGAGAGGCAUAAGGGUUGUGGUGAGAAAAAAGGAAAAGUGGCCAGCACUUGUGCCCUAUUUGCAAGGAAUACGGGCACCAUUGGCAUAAGUGCAAGAAGGGUAACAAAGAUGACAUUGCUGCUUUCAUGGCUGUGA